Molecule: ribosomal RNA, 299 nt
Filed under: uncultured bacterium
Lineage: Bacteria
Description: partial 16S ribosomal RNA
Rfam family: Bacterial small subunit ribosomal RNA
Source: RNAcentral
UUGCCUACGGGAGGCAGCAGUAGGGAAUAUUGCUCAAUGGGGGAAACCCUGAUGCAGCAACGCCGCGUGGAGGAUGAAGGAUUUAGGAUUGUAAACUCCUUUUGUUAGAGAAGAUUAUGACGGUAUCUAACGAAGAAGCACCGGCUAACUCCGUGCCAGCAGCCGCGGUAAUACGGAGGGUGCAAGCGUUACUCGGAAUCACUGGGCGUAAAGAGAGCGUAGGCGGGGCAAUAAGUCAGAUGUGAAAACCUGUAGCUUAACUACAGAACUGCAUUGGAAACUGUUACUCUGGAGUGGGG